GCUCACUUCAGCUGUACCUAUACUAAAAUUGGAACAAUACAGAGAAGAUAAGCAUGGCCCCUGAGCAUGGAUAACACUAAUUUUUAAUUUAAAAAAAUUUUU
Small nuclear RNA from Callithrix jacchus (white-tufted-ear marmoset), 102 nucleotides. Lineage: Eukaryota; Metazoa; Chordata; Mammalia; Primates; Cebidae. The record is from Ensembl.